UACGUAGGGGGCAAGCGUUGUCCGGAUUUAUUGGGCGUAAAAGGCUUGUAGGUGGCCACGCCAAGUCGGAUGUGAAAUCUCCCGGCUCAACUGGGAGGGGUCAUUCAAUACUGGUGGGCUCGAGGCCGGUAGGGGGAAGCGGAAUUCCCGGUGUAGUGGUGGAAUGCGUAGAUAUCGGGAGGAACACCAGUGGCGAAGGCGGCUUCCUGGACCGGUUCUGACACUGAGGAGCGAAAGCGUGGGGAGCGAUCCGG
RNAcentral lists this ribosomal RNA (254 nucleotides) under uncultured bacterium. RNAcentral describes it as "partial 16S ribosomal RNA". It matches the Rfam family "Bacterial small subunit ribosomal RNA", at positions 524 to 776 of the family's 1533-position model. The record is from RNAcentral.